RNAcentral lists this ribosomal RNA (1198 nucleotides) under Priestia filamentosa. RNAcentral describes it as "bacterial SSU rRNA". It matches the Rfam family "Bacterial small subunit ribosomal RNA", at positions 159 to 1334 of the family's 1533-position model. The record is from RNAcentral. Lineage: Bacteria; Bacillati; Bacillota; Bacilli; Caryophanales; Bacillaceae.
GGAGCUAAUACCGGAUAACACAUAUCUUCGCAUGAGGAUAUGUUAGAAGGUGGCUUUUAGCUACCACUCAAGGACUUGGGCCCGCGGCGCAUUAGCUAGUUGGUGAGGUAACGGCUCACCAAGGCGACGAUGCGUAGCCGACCUGAGAGGGUGAUCGGCCACACUGGGACUGAGACACGGCCCAGACUCCUACGGGAGGCAGCAGUAGGGAAUCUUCCGCAAUGGACGAAAGUCUGACGGAGCAACGCCGCGUGAGUGAUGAAGGUUUUCGGAUCGUAAAGCUCUGUUGUUAGGGAAGAACAAGUACCUGUUAAAUAAGCAGGUACCUUGACGGUACCUAACCAGAAAGCCACGGCUAACUACGUGCCCAGCAGCCGCGGUAAUACGUAGGUGGCAAGCGUUUGUCCGGAAUUAUUGGGCGUAAAGCGCGCGCAGGCGGUUCCUUAAGUCUUGAUGUGAAAGCCCACGGCUUCAACCGUGGAGGGUCAUUGGAAACUGGUGAGAACUUGAGUGCAGAAGAGGAGAGCGGAAUUCCACGUGUAGCGGUGAAAUGCGUAGAGAUGUGGAGGAACACCAGGGGGAAGAGGCGGCUCUCUGGUCUCUCACUGACUGAGGCGCGAAAGCGUGGGGAGCGAACAGGAUUAGAUACCCUGGUAGUCCACGCCGUAAACGAUGAGUGCUAAGUGUUAGAGGGUUUCCGCCCUUUAGUGCUGCAGCAAACGCAUUAAGCACUCCGCCUGGGGAGUACGGUCGCAAGACUGAAACUCAAAGGAAAUUGACGGGGACCCGCACAAGCGGUGGAGCAUGUGGUUUAAUUCGAAGCAACGCGAAGAACCUUACCAGGUCUUGACAUCCUCUGCUACUUCUAGAGAUAGAAGGUUCCCUUCGGGGACAGAGUGACAGGUGGUGCAUGGUUGUCGUCAGCUCGUGUCGUGAGAUGUUGGGUUAAGUCCCGCAACGAGCGCAACCCUUGAUCUUAGUUGCCAGCAUUCAGUUGGGCACUCUAAGGUGACUGCCGGUGACAAACCGGAGGAAGGUGGGGAUGACGUCAAAUCAUCAUGCCCCUUAUGACCUGGGCUACACACGUGCUACAAUGGAUGGUACAAAGGGCUGCAAAACCGUGAGGUCGAGCCAAACCCAUAAAACCAUUCUCAGUUCGGAUUGUAGGCUGCAACUCGCCUACAUGAAGCCGGAAUCG